Long non-coding RNA from Helianthus annuus (common sunflower), 1548 nucleotides. RefSeq lists it as uncharacterized. The transcript has 5 exons. Lineage: Eukaryota; Viridiplantae; Streptophyta; Magnoliopsida; Asterales; Asteraceae. The record is from RefSeq and is a predicted model, not a curated record.
UUGUGCAUAUGUAGGUUGUAUCAUGAGCUUGGGAGCUUUAAAAAAAAAAAAAAAAAACACUUUAUGCUCUGCUGCUUCUUGCUUCAUACAUCCACCAAACAUACGUUGACCAAACACUCAUCCACGCACCAAAAGAAACCCCAAUUUUCACCCGUAUCACAAAAUCAAUACCUUUAUUCAAGGUUCUUCCUUGUAUAGCUUAUGGAUGUUACCGGUGGUUAAGGCUGAAAGAGGCGACGACAGGAGACACUCCGGCGGCGAGAUUAGGGUUUCGCCAUCAUCCUUGAUAGUGGUGGCGACCGGUGGUUAAGGCUGAAAAGGAGUAGAUCAAAGAGGUUCAACUGGGGUAGAAUUAGGUUGAUUUGUGGUGGUGGAUGGUUGUGUUUCGAUGGUCAAUCGCUAGCGUGCAGAUUUACACUUCAUCUAGAAGGGAGAUGUGUAACUGAAUCAUUGGUGGUGGAUGGCAACACAACUGCAACCUUAAUACUCUUUCUCAAGUGUCAAAGAGGAUGGCCGUGCAGCAGGAUCAGAGAAUAAGGGUCUGGAAAGUUAUCAGUGGACGACGGUCAAGAGAAUAAAAGUCGUGCUGCCUCAGAUGUUGCAAAAUUACUUGAUAAUAAUAAACUUUCUACAAAGGAAAAACCUGAUUCGGUUUCUUCUGAGUCCAAGAUUAAAGAUACUCAUGAAAUAGAUAACUUUUCUACUGAAAAGAAAAAGAAGAAAAGGAAAAGGAAAAGGAAACAGGUAGACGAUCUUCGGUUUGUGGCUGAACUAGGUGCAGUUGGUCCAAAAAGGAAGGAACGAAAGAAAAAACUUCUAGAAGAAAGGAAAAAGAAACACAAGAAGGCGAAGCAAGAAGAUGAUUUUAACUUUCUGGGUCGUGAAGAGAAAGGUUGUUCAAGCUCCACCAAAAUUGGUCAAUGUUCCCAAGACAUGUUUGCCUGUGCGUUUGAGCAGCACAGAGAGAAGGGUGUUGCCACGCCGUUGUCGGUGGCUCUGGCCGUCUAUGGCGGCUACGACUUUACGCUGCGCGAUGUGUUUUUUUGGUAGUGUUCACGGUUUAAAACUUUUGCUUGUCCGUGAGUUUGAUUUGAGAUCAGAAUGACGUUGCGAAAUUCUAGUAUGCUACAUUGCACCUUUAACUAUCAUUACCCUAUUUAGAGGUAAAAAUUACACUGGCUAUGAUGACUUUUGUUGUUUUUUCUUUGUGAUGUUUCUUGCAGGAUGGAUUGUUCAUGAAAGAGUCUUUUUUUCUCAGGUUUAAAAGUCCUAAUCCUUCUUGUGUGCUAAAAUUAUUAACAUGUGUGCGUUGAUAUUCUUAGCUACUUAGUGUCAUCGGGAUUGACCAACAAAUGACAUAACAAUAACCCUUUUGUACAAGUUGUGAACAUACGAAUUCAACAACCUUUUGUAUGACUUAGUUAGCAACAUUAUGGCAUGUGAGUGAAAAAAAAACAUCUUGAUGUAACAACCAUAUGGCUUCAGCUAAUGUGUAUGAAACUAGCACCCCGCCGCAUUGCGGCGGGUGGUAAUUCUAGUUAAUAUUAA